This 468-nucleotide ribosomal RNA is filed under the name uncultured bacterium. Its description in RNAcentral is "partial 16S ribosomal RNA". It matches the Rfam family "Bacterial small subunit ribosomal RNA", at positions 28 to 507 of the family's 1533-position model. The record is from RNAcentral.
GACGAACGCUGGCGGCGUGCUUAACACAUGCGAGUCGAACGGAAAGGCCCUGCUUUUGUGGGGUGCUCGAGUGGCGAACGGGUGAGUAACACGUGAGUAACCUGCCCUUGACUUUGGGAUAACUUCAGGAAACUGGGGCUAAUACCGGAUAGGAGCUCCUGCUGCAUGGUGGGGGUUGGAAAGUUUCGGCGGUUGGGGAUGGACUCGCGGCUUAUCAGCUUGUUGGUGGGGUAGUGGCUUACCAAGGCUUUGACGGGUAGCCGGCCUGAGAGGGUGACCGGCCACAUUGGGACUGAGAUACGGCCCAGACUCCUACGGGAGGCAGCAGUGGGGAAUAUUGCACAAUGGGCGGAAGCCUGAUGCAGUAACGCCGCGUGCGGGAUGACGGCCUUCGGGUUGUAAACCGCUUUCGCCUGUGACGAAGCGUGAGUGACGGUAAUGGGUAAAGAAGCACCGGCUAACUACGUG